UAGGGUAAUGAAGCGAACCGGGAGAACUGAAACAUCUAAGUACCCCGAGGAAAAGAAAUCAAACGAGAUUCCCCCAGUAGCGGCGAGCGAACGGGGAGCAGCCCAGGACCUUAAUCAGUAUCAGUGUUAAGAGAACAGUCUGGAAAGGCUGGCCACAGCAGGUGAUAGCCCUGUAUCUGAAAGCACUGGUAUUGUGAGUCCGAUGAGUAAGGCGGGACACGUGUUAUCCUGUCUGAAUAUGGGGGGACCAUCCUCCAAGGCUAAAUACUCCUGACUGACCGAUAGUGAACCAGUACCGUGAGGGAAAGGCGAAAAGAACCCCGGCGAGGGGAGUGAAAAAGAACCUGAAACCGUGUA
This 357-nucleotide ribosomal RNA is filed under the name Morganella morganii. RNAcentral describes it as "partial 23S ribosomal RNA". It matches the Rfam family "Bacterial large subunit ribosomal RNA", at positions 167 to 561 of the family's 2925-position model. Lineage: Bacteria; Pseudomonadati; Pseudomonadota; Gammaproteobacteria; Enterobacterales; Morganellaceae. The record is from RNAcentral.